AGUUGUAUCCUGGCUCAGGAUGAACGCUGGCGAGAUGCUUUACACAUGCAAGUCGUACGAGAGUCUUUGACUCAAGUGGCGGACGGGUGAGUAACACGUAAGAAUUUGCCUUUAGGAGGGGGACAACAGCUGGAAACGGCUGCUAAUACCCCAUAUGCUUUCGAGUGAAACGGAUUUUUCCGCCUAGAGAGAAGCUUGCGGCUGAUUAGCUUGUUGGUAAGGUAAUGGCUUACCAAGGCGACGAUCAGUAUCUGGUUUGAGAGGAUGAUCAGACACACUGGAACUGAGACACGGUCCAGACUCCUGCGGGAGGCAGCAGUGGGGAAUUUUCCGCAAUGGGCGAAAGCCUGACGGAGCAAUCUCGCGUGAGGGAUGACUGCCUAUGGGUUGUAAACCUCUUUUUUCAGGGAGGAAUAAAUGACGUGUACCUGAAGAAUAAGCAUCGGCUAACUCCGUGCCAGCAGCCGCGGUAAUACGGAGGAUGCAAGUGUUAUCCGGAAUCACUGGGCGUAAAGCGUCUGUAGGUUGUUUAAUAAGUCAACUGUUAAAUCUUGAAGCUCAACUUCAAAAUCGCAGUCGAAACUGUUAGACUAGAGUAUAGUAGGGGUAAAGGGAAUUUCCAGUGGAGCGGUGAAAUGCGUAGAUAUUGGAAAGAACACCGAUGGCGAAGGCACUUUACUGGGCUAUUACUGACACUCANAGACGAAAGCUAGGGUAGCAAAUGGGAUUAGAUACCCCAGUAGUCCUAGCUGUAAACAAUGGAUACUAGAUGUUGAACAGAUCGACCUGUGCAGUAUCAAAGCUAAC
This 807-nucleotide ribosomal RNA is filed under the name uncultured bacterium. Its description in RNAcentral is "bacterial SSU rRNA". It matches the Rfam family "Bacterial small subunit ribosomal RNA", at positions 10 to 856 of the family's 1533-position model. The record is from RNAcentral.